Molecule: ribosomal RNA, 279 nt
Filed under: Limosilactobacillus portuensis
Lineage: Bacteria; Bacillati; Bacillota; Bacilli; Lactobacillales; Lactobacillaceae
Description: Limosilactobacillus sp. c11Ua_112_M partial 23S ribosomal RNA
Rfam family: Bacterial large subunit ribosomal RNA
Source: RNAcentral
GUUUCCAGAGGAAGGCUCGUCCGCUCUGGGUUAGUCGGGUCCUAAGCUGAGGCCGACAGGCGUAGGCGAUGGAUAACAGGUUGAUAUUCCUGUACCACCAUUAUUCGUUUUAAGCGAUGGGGGGACGCAGUAGGAUAGGCGAAGCGUGCUGUUGGAGUGCACGUCCAAGCAGUGAGAUUGAGUGUUAGGCAAAUCCGGCACUCUUAAGAUUGAGCUGUGAUGGGGAGAGGAACUUGUUCCUCGAGUCGUUGAUUUCACACUGCCGAGAAAAGCCUCUAG